This 459-nucleotide ribosomal RNA is filed under the name uncultured bacterium. RNAcentral's name for it is "partial 16S ribosomal RNA". It matches the Rfam family "Bacterial small subunit ribosomal RNA", at positions 338 to 795 of the family's 1533-position model. The record is from RNAcentral.
CCUACGGGUGACAGCAGUGAGGAAUAUUGGUCAAUGGUCGGGAGACUGAACCAGCCAAGCCGCGUGAGGGAUGAAGGUACAGAGUAUCGUAAACCUCUUUUGUCAGGGAACAAAGGCGGGGACGUGUCCCCGGAUGAGUGUACCUGAAGAAAAAGCAUCGGCUAACUCCGUGCCAGCAGCCGCGGUAAUACGGAGGAUGCGAGCGUUAUCCGGAUUUAUGGGGGUUAAAGGGUGCGCAGGCGGUCUGUUAAGUCAGCGGUCAAAGCCCGGGGCUCAACCCCGGCCCGCCGUUGAAACUGGCAGUCUCGAGUUGGAGAGAAGUAUGCGGAAUGCGCGGUGUAGCGGUGAAAUGCAUAGAUAUCGCGCAGAACUCCGAUUGCGAAGGCAGCAUGCCGGCUCCACACUGACGCUGAGGCACGAAAGCGUGGGUAUCGAACAGGAUUAGAUACCCUGGUAGUC